Pelobates cultripes (western spadefoot toad) is the source of this 241-nucleotide non-coding RNA. The record is from the annotation of a GenBank genome assembly. NCBI's taxonomy places the organism in Eukaryota, Metazoa, Chordata, Amphibia, Anura, Pelobatidae.
UGGCACUAUAGUGCCCUUAGGGUGCCCCCACCCUCAGGGACCCCCUCCCGCCCGGCUCUGGAAGGGGGAAAGGGGAAAAAACUUACCUUUUUCCAGCGCUGGGCGGAGAGCUCUCCUCCUUCUCUCCUCCUCCGUUCCGCCCCGUUGGCUGAAUGCGCACGCGCGGCAAGAGCUGCGCGCGCAUUCAUCCGGUCACAUAGGAAAGCAUUCAUAAUGCUUUCCUAUGGACGCUGGCGUGCUC